GUUGCAACAGCAGUAACUCAGAAGUUUAUAAUCAAGAGAAAUUUGUCUCCUGGCUCUAGUGAUUGGGAGAGUGACAUGAUGCAGAUGAACUCUAGCCACUGGCUCACCCAGGCUAGCAACAAUGCCUGAACCUCAGUCUUCCUGGAAAAAGCCCACAUGGACACGCACUUUCUCGGAAGUGGAAUUGUAGAAAUCUCAAGCCAACACAGUUUGAAAAAAAGAGAAGAAAGAGAAGGAGGAAAAGAAGCAGAAGAGAAAGAAGAAGGAGAACAGGAAAAAAGAAGAAGAAGAAGAAGAAGAAGAAGAAGAAGAAGAAGAAGAAGAAGAAGGAGAAGAAGAGCUUGCCACCAUUCCCAGGAUAGUCUCAUCCCAGAGAGACAUUUGCCAGAUAUCUUGGCUGCUCAACUGUUGUGCCCCCCUGCCGUCUCUGUGAUCUCAAGCAGCCAGCAGCCAGGCUCCAGGUCAGAGGCUCAGCAAUGGUGACAAAGAGAAGCACAGAGGAGUAGAGGACAGCACUUGAGGUCGCCCAGUCUUCACGAUUAGAUCACCCUGAGCAGGAUGCUCCCCCUGGCUGAGCUCGGGGCCAUGUUCUCUUGAGUAAAAUUGGACUGAGUCCAGUUUUAUGUACUUCAGAGCCCUUCCUUGUUUGUACACGAAAGACACACUCCAGUCUAAACUCACCCGAGACGAACAGCUGCUUAUUUCUUGGCAAUUUUCCCCUGGUGUUUCUUGUCUUGGUGGAAUUAAUCCUUGCAUAAUAACACACAUUUCUGUCCCAUAAGAAUGUUAUCUGGUUUGGAGUUU
RNAcentral lists this long non-coding RNA (804 nucleotides) under Meriones unguiculatus (Mongolian gerbil). Its description in RNAcentral is "lncRNA (ENSMUGG00000019484.1)". Lineage: Eukaryota; Metazoa; Chordata; Mammalia; Rodentia; Muridae. The record is from RNAcentral.